AUGGCGCAGCCGCAUCCGCAUCCGCAUCCGUCCUCGUCCUCGUCCUCCUCCGCGCCGCCGUCCUCCUCGCCGUGGGUCAUCUUAGGCAGCAUCCCGAGCGUCUCCGCACUGCCGGACGCCGGCGACGUCUCCGUCGCGCUGGCGGCGCCGCCGCGCGUCUCGAUCCUCACCGUCUCCCCGCGCGUCUUUCCGGACUUCCCUACGCCCCGCAACUUCCCCUUCGUCCUCGCCGCCGACCCCUCCGGCCUUCUCCUCCUCCAGGCCAACCUGCGCUGCGCCCCGACCCGUGAAGUCAUCAAUCGCCCCGACCACCAGGGAGUCACCUGGAAACUCACCGACUCUCGCUACUUCGUGCUCGACACCACCACCGGCUCGUCGUUCCAGCUCCCCGACCCUGAGGCCACCAUCAUGCACCAGGCCCUCCUCGGCCUUUUGGCCUCCCCCGGGGGCGGCGGCCACUACAUGGUCGCUGAGCUCCAGCCCAUCUUCGGCAGCGACGAAGCCACGCUCCUCUGCUUCUCCACGGAGGUAGGAGAGUGGGUCGAGAAGCGCGUCCACUACCCGCUCCCGCCACGCCCGCUGGCUCCCAUCUGCGUGGUCUCGCACCACGGGAGGCUCUGGUGGGUGGACCUCUCAUGGGGCGUCAUCACCUGCGACCCCUUCGCCGACGAGCCGGUCCUGGGCUUCGUUCCCUUCCCGCCGGGGAGGGUGCUCAGGUACAGGGAAGGUUGGGGAGUCACCGACAAGUUCCGUUACGUGGGGGUGAGCGGCGGCAAGCUGCGUUUCGUCGACAUGUACAUGCGUAAGCGUGCAGGCGCUCACACUCCCACGGUAAGCGUGUGGACGCUGGGCGAUCCAGACUCGAGGGAGUGGACGCUGGAGCAAGAGGCGAGCUUUACCGAGAUCUGGGGCGAUGAGAGCUACAAGGCGGCCGGGCUGCCGGAGAAGAUGCCCACGGUCGCGCUCAUUCACCCCAAGAACCCCGACGUGGUCUACUUCUUCCUCAAGGAGCACCUGUUUGGUGUUGACGUGCGUGCUCGCAAGGUGGUGGAGUGCCAGGUGUAUGGUCUUGUUGCGCCGCCGAGCAUCUGCUUGGCCAGCCGCUUCGUUCGGGCUUGGGAGCUGCCACGGGCGCUCUCCUCCUCAGGGGAGUGGUCUAAUGGCAUCAGCUUGGCUGAGAGCGCUAAUGCACGUCCAUACCAGCCAUCGGCAGGGGAUUAUCACUUGGUGGGGGGCUCCAGGAUAGCAUGCAAAGGAUGA
RNAcentral lists this ribosomal RNA (1260 nucleotides) under Triticum aestivum (bread wheat). Its description in RNAcentral is "partial small subunit ribosomal RNA". The record is from RNAcentral. Lineage: Eukaryota; Viridiplantae; Streptophyta; Magnoliopsida; Poales; Poaceae.